RNAcentral lists this ribosomal RNA (405 nucleotides) under uncultured bacterium. RNAcentral's name for it is "partial 16S ribosomal RNA". It matches the Rfam family "Bacterial small subunit ribosomal RNA", at positions 355 to 774 of the family's 1533-position model. The record is from RNAcentral.
GGAGGAAUAUUGGUCAAUGGGGGAAACCCUGAACCAGCAACGCCGCGUGAAGGAAGAAGGCCCUCGGGUUGUAAACUUCUGUUUAAGGGGACGAAGAAAGUGACGGUACCCUUGGAGGAAGCUCCGGCAAACUACGUGCCAGCAGCCGCGGUAAUACGUAGGGAGCGAGCGUUGUCCGGAAUCACUGGGCGUAAAGGGCGCGUAGGCGGCCUUAAAAGUUGCAUGUGAAAUACCUGAGCUCAACUCAGGGGGGUCAUGCAAAACUUUAGGGCUUGAGUGCAGUAGAGGAAAGCGGAAUUCCUGGUGUAGCGGUAAAAUGCGUAGAGAUCAGGAGGAACACCGGUGGCGAAGGCGGCUUUCUGGGCUGUAACUGACGCUGAGGCGCGAAAGCGUGGGGAGCGAACA